GAUGAACGCUGGCGGUAUGCUUAACACAUGCAAGUCGAACGGACUCUUCGGCGUUAGUGGCGGAAGGGCGAGUAAUGCGUGAGAAAAUGGCUUUGGGUUAGGGACAACCACUGGAAACGGUUGCUAUAUAAGGAUGUGCCGCGGGGUAUAAGUGAAAUUGCCUGAAGAUGAGCUUGCGUCUGAUUAGCUAGUUGGUGAGGUAGAGGCGCACCAAGGUAGCGAGCAGUCGCUGGUCUGAGAGGAUGACCAGCCACCCAGGGGCUGAGACCCGGCCCAGACUCCUGCGGGAGGCAGCAGGUGGGAAGUAUCCGCAAUGAGCGAAGGCCUGACGGAGCAAUACCGCGUGAGGGAAUAAGGCUCUUGGGUUGUAGACCUCGUUUCUUAGGUAAGAACAAGAUGACGGUACCGAAAGAAUCAGCACCGGCUAACUCCGUG
RNAcentral lists this ribosomal RNA (435 nucleotides) under uncultured bacterium. RNAcentral describes it as "partial 16S ribosomal RNA". It matches the Rfam family "Bacterial small subunit ribosomal RNA", at positions 28 to 507 of the family's 1533-position model. The record is from RNAcentral.